Molecule: non-coding RNA, 225 nt
Organism: Puccinia sorghi
Lineage: Eukaryota; Fungi; Basidiomycota; Pucciniomycetes; Pucciniales; Pucciniaceae
Source: the annotation of a GenBank genome assembly
GCGUCUGUAGCCUAGUUGGUUAAAGGCAGCACUCUAGCAUGUUUCUCACAUCUUAUGCAAACUGCUGGCGAUUAUGCAAAAUCGCCUUCUGGUGGUUUGUGCUGCGCACCCGCGUGUUGCACACUUGGAUUACAAACCACCAGAAGGUGAUUUUGCAUAAUCACCUGCAUUUUGCAUAAGGUGUCAGUUAUACUGAGGUCGUGAGUUUGAAUCUCACCAGACACA